AACGAACGCUGGCGGCAUGCCUAACACAUGCAAGUCGAACGGGAUCCUGGCUUCGGCCAGGUGAGAGUGGCGGACGGGUGAGUAACGCGUGGGAACCUGCCCAUUGGUCUGGGAUAACUGCGGGAAACUGCAGCUAAUACCGGAUGUACCCGAGAGGGGAAAGAUUUAUCGCCGAUGGAGGGGCCCGCGUCGGAUUAGGUAGUUGGUGAGGUAACGGCUCACCAAGCCUACGAUCUGUAGCUGGUCUGAGAGGAUGAUCAGCCACACUGGGACUGAGAUACGGCCCAGACUCCUACGGGAGGCAGCAGUGGGGAAUAUUGGACAAUGGGGGGCAACCCUGAUCCAGCAAUGCCGCGUGAGUGAUGAAGGCCUUAGGGUUGUAAAGCUCUUUUACCAGGGACGAUGAUGACGGUACCUGGAGAAUAAGCCCCGGCUAACUUCGUGCCAGCAGCCGCGGUAAU
This 461-nucleotide ribosomal RNA is filed under the name uncultured bacterium. RNAcentral describes it as "bacterial SSU rRNA". It matches the Rfam family "Bacterial small subunit ribosomal RNA", at positions 29 to 524 of the family's 1533-position model. The record is from RNAcentral.